This 434-nucleotide ribosomal RNA is filed under the name uncultured bacterium. Its description in RNAcentral is "bacterial SSU rRNA". It matches the Rfam family "Bacterial small subunit ribosomal RNA", at positions 957 to 1391 of the family's 1533-position model. The record is from RNAcentral.
GAACGCGAAGAACCUUACCCGGGAUUGAAAUGUAGAUGACCGCUCCUGAAAGGGAGUUUUCCUUCGGGACAUCUAUGUAGGUGCUGCAUGGUUGUCGUCAGCUCGUGCCGUGAGGUGUCGGCUUAAGUGCCAUAACGAGCGCAACCCCUGUCUACGGUUGCCAUCAGGUGAUGCUGGGAACUCCGUAGAGACUGCCGUCGUAAGGCGUGAGGAAGGUGGGGAUGACGUCAAAUCAGCACGGCCCUUACAUCCGGGGCGACACACGUGUUACAAUGGUAAGGACAAAGGGCAGCUACCUGGCGACAGGAUGCGAAUCUCUAAACCUUAUCACAGUUCGGAUCGGAGUCUGCAACUCGACUCCGUGAAGCUGGAUUCGCUAGUAAUCGCGCAUCAGCCAUGGCACGGUGAAUACGUUCCCGGGUCUUGUACACACC